GGAUGUGAAGGUAAUCUGGCCACAACAUCUGUCACCCCCCAUUGAUCACCAGGGAUGAUUCAGUUAAGUUGGUUGGCUAGGUGGGUGUCCCCUUUCACCCUCCCGAAGCUGUGUGCUGGGCUGAAGAGGAAGAUGGAGGAGGACCAUUUCCUUGAUCAAGGUAUGCAAGUAGCUGCACUUCCCUGCUAGAACCUCCAAACAAGCUCUCAAAAAAAGAAAAUGUGGGCUGGGGAUUUAGCUCAGUGGUUCCACUGCCUGCCUCGAAAGUGCAAGGGCCUGAGU
This 282-nucleotide small nuclear RNA is filed under the name Heterocephalus glaber (naked mole-rat). RNAcentral describes it as "7SK RNA". It matches the Rfam family "7SK RNA". Rfam says of the family: 7SK was discovered as an abundant small nuclear RNA in the mid-70s but a possible function has only recently been suggested. Two independent studies have found that 7SK RNA binds the CDK9/cyclin T complex (known as elongation factor P-TEFb). The record is from Rfam by way of RNAcentral. Lineage: Eukaryota; Metazoa; Chordata; Mammalia; Rodentia; Bathyergidae.